This 497-nucleotide ribosomal RNA is filed under the name uncultured bacterium. RNAcentral's name for it is "partial 16S ribosomal RNA". It matches the Rfam family "Bacterial small subunit ribosomal RNA", at positions 28 to 507 of the family's 1533-position model. The record is from RNAcentral.
GAUGAACGCUGGCGGCGUGCCUAAUACAUGCAAGUCGAGCGAACGGACGAGAAGCUUGCUUCUCUGAUGUUAGCGGCGGACGGGUGAGUAACACGUGGAUAACCUAUCUAUAAGACUGGGAUAACUUCGGGAAACCGGAGCUAAUACCGGAUGAUAUUUUGAACCGCAUGGUUCAAAAGUGAAAGACGGUCUUGCUGUCACUUAUAGAUGGAUCCGCGCUGCAUUAGCUAGUUGGUAAGGUAAUGGCUUACCAAGGCAACGAUGCAUAGCCGACCUGAGAGGGUGAUCGGCCACACUGGAACUGAGACACGGUCCAGACUCCUACGGGAGGCAGCAGUAGGGAAUCUUCCGCAAUGGGCGAAAGCCUGACGGAGCAACGCCGCGUGAGUGAUGAAGGUCUUCGGAUCGUAAAACUCUGUUAUUAGGGAAGAACAUAUGUGUAAGUAACUGUGCACAUCUUGACGGUACCUAAUCAGAAAGCCACGGCUAACUACGUG